UCAUUCAAAUAAAGGUCUGGCUUGGCUGAGGUUGGCUUGCUGUUCUUUUUCCACCUAAGAGGAAGCAUCCACACAAAUGAGAGGAGAUGGAAGGACAGCUGUAGGAAUUCUGUAAAAGACCACAGCUGUCUUCAGGUGAUGAGUCUGGAUCUGCUAGGGAGCAGCCCUGUACAAUGGCACACUUUCUCACAAGGCAAGUGCUGCUGUGUCCCAGGCAAAACUCAACAAACUAACCCUCAGGUUUGUUGUGCAAGGCCUCUAUCCACUCAGCAUCGUUGAGAGACCAGAGGUUAAAGAUUAUCUCCAUGAGUUGGUACCUGGAAGGCAGACACUUGUGAAGAUGGUGGAAGAUGAGUCUGUGCACAUACGCAGAAACCUCUGCACUACUCUCUCAGCAAGAACACAUAGCAACAAAUACUGAUACAUGGUCAACCAACAACAGAAGCUUUUUGGGGGUCACUGUUCGUCGGAUCAACCAAAAAACACUCCAGAUUCAGUCUGAACCUCUUUCUUGCUGUAGAAUCAUAGGGAGACAUACAUUCGAUGUUUUAGCUGGUAUGCUGGAAGACAUACAUAAAGAUUUUAAGAUCAAGCACGAGGUUAGUCUCACAACCACAGACAAUGGGUCUAACUUUGUAGAGGCUUUCCAAGUUUAUGCCAAAAUGCAAGACAGUGAUGAGAGGGAGGAAGAGGAAGAUGACAGAGACCUGAUUUUCACCGAAAUGACAAACAUCAUCAAUGAUCCUGGAGAGGAGGAUUAUCACUUACCACAACACUAGAGAUAUGCCAGUCACACACUGAACCUCGUGGCAACCAAAGAUGCAAAAGAGGCUGCCAAAAUUUCAGAGCCAUUCAAAAAAAAUAUCCAUCCACCCUGUGGAAAUGUCAAGCCCUCUGGAACAAACAGAGCCGCAGCACGCAGGCUCCAGACAUCAUCCAGGAAAUACUUGGAAACCAGUUGGUCAUUCUAAAUGUAACUUGCUGGAACUCGACCUACAACGCCCUGGAGAGACUGAAGAGAAUCACCACAGCAGGAGAAGGAGACCUGGAUGAUGUGUGUGGAAGGCUCCAAACAAGCAGGGAAGACGUGUGACGCAGUGAAUAUGUCACGGUUUGGGUACGUGUUUGAAAGCAUCAAGUGCCUAAUGGCAACUGCGAGCAAUACGUACCAACGAAACGGAAGAGAGGCAUAGAGACACGUCUGAGAGAAGAGGUGAGGUGGCUGCAAACACCCUUCAGCAUCUCCAACAACAGAGGAAGAGGAAACA
This is a long non-coding RNA of Thunnus maccoyii (southern bluefin tuna), 1268 nucleotides long. RefSeq lists it as uncharacterized. NCBI's taxonomy places the organism in Eukaryota, Metazoa, Chordata, Actinopteri, Scombriformes, Scombridae. The record is from RefSeq and is a predicted model, not a curated record. The transcript is spliced from 3 exons.